Molecule: transfer RNA, 71 nt
Filed under: Patescibacteria group bacterium
Lineage: Bacteria
Description: tRNA-His
Rfam family: tRNA
About the family: Transfer RNA (tRNA) molecules are approximately 80 nucleotides in length. Their secondary structure includes four short double-helical elements and three loops (D, anti-codon, and T loops).
Source: RNAcentral
GUGACCUUAGUUUAGUGGUAAAACUCCACUCUGUGGAAGUGGUAUCGGGAGUUCGAUUCUCCUAGGUCACC